RNAcentral lists this long non-coding RNA (693 nucleotides) under Homo sapiens (human). Its description in RNAcentral is "HSALNT0006708". The stretch from base 214 to 323 matches the Rfam family "Y RNA". Lineage: Eukaryota; Metazoa; Chordata; Mammalia; Primates; Hominidae. The record is from RNAcentral.
AGCCUCCCAAAAUGCUGGGAUUACAGGCGUGAGCCACCGCGCCUGGCCCAGAUCUGUAAUUUUUUUAAAGAAAUGAAAUAUUGGGCAUGGUGGCUCAUGCCUGUAAUCUCAGCUACUCAGGAAGCUGAGAUGGAAGGAUCACUUGAGGCCAGGAGUUCAAGACCAGCCUGGGCAAUAUAGAGAGACCCUCCACUUACCCGCCACUCCAUAAAAGGCUGCUCCGAAGGCAGUGAGUCUUAAUUGAUUGUGCACAGUCAGUUGCAGAUCGAACUCCUUAUUCAGUUCUUUCUUCUCUCAUCACUACUGCACUUGGCUAGUCUAAAAAAGUGUUUAAGGAAAGAAAAACCAAUGAAAUAUUAUAGAUAAAGUCUAAGUUUGUGUUCUAUCCACAGUGCCAUCCACCGCUUUCCCCACCAAAAGACAACUAAUAGUAAAAUUUGGUGUACUUUAAUACUUUUUAAAUAUUUAAUUGUUAAAAAUAGUAUUAUUUUAUGUUUUCUUUAAAUGUGCAUAAGUGAAAUCAGUACAUAAUUGGAAUCAUUGAAUAUACAUUUAUAGAACUUGCUUUUUUUGUAUUAUUUUUUCAGUUUUAUUCAUACUGACACAUAUAGAUCUAGUUUAUUGAUAAGUCAUAAGUGGUAAGUUUGAUGAAGUUUCAGUCAACAGACCUAUAGAAGCAACAUCCAGAUCAAG